AUUGGGUUGAGAAACUACAAUUCUUUAGUUUAACAAAGUGGCUGAACAGUUCAUCACGUUAUGUCUGGGGUACACAGCAAAGGAUCAGUAUUAAACUUAACAGAACUUCAGGCGAACGCUCUAAAACGUAUUAUCGCUCUUCAACACCAAGACAUUCUGGUCAAAAAUGAGCGGCUAAGAGGGGUAGAGGACUUAACAAGAAUAUGCAGUGAAUUGGAAGAAAAACGGCAGGGUUCGGAGAGAAAGGCGGACAAUUAUGAAAAUAUGCCCUAAGACGAGCGGAAGCGAGAAUCGCGUAUUUGAACAAUAAGCUUGGAAUAGGGUCUCAAACUAGUUUCGAUAUCGAUGUAAUCAAUCCUGGGAUUUCAAGAAAGGAUUUUGACGCAGUUACCAAAGAAAAUAUCAGACUAAAAGAAGCGUUGGAACAUAUCGUACCAACAGAAUUGGGCGGUAAAGACAUAGUCAUUGUAAGUAUGAUAGAAAUUUAAU
Molecule: non-coding RNA, 489 nt
Organism: Paramuricea clavata
Lineage: Eukaryota; Metazoa; Cnidaria; Anthozoa; Malacalcyonacea; Plexauridae
Source: the annotation of a GenBank genome assembly